ACAUCCUGGUUUAUCUUCAGAUUGAAUAAAUAUUUUGCCUUUUACUAAAGAUUUCCAUAUAGAGGAACAAUUCUGAGUUUUUGAACCAGUUUUCUGAGACCUUGUCUUUUGCGAGACU
This is a small nuclear RNA of Octodon degus (degu), 118 nucleotides long. Its record names the gene U5. It matches the Rfam family "U5 spliceosomal RNA". Rfam says of the family: U5 RNA is a component of both types of known spliceosome. The precise function of this molecule is unknown, though it is known that the 5' loop is required for splice site selection and p220 binding, and that both the 3' stem-loop and the Sm site are important for Sm protein binding and cap methylation. Lineage: Eukaryota; Metazoa; Chordata; Mammalia; Rodentia; Octodontidae. The record is from Ensembl.